Molecule: ribosomal RNA, 502 nt
Filed under: uncultured bacterium
Lineage: Bacteria
Description: bacterial SSU rRNA
Rfam family: Bacterial small subunit ribosomal RNA
Source: RNAcentral
AUUGAACGCUGGCGGCGUGCCUAACACAUGCAAGUCGAGCGGUAACAGGUGUAGCAAUACAUGCUGACGAGCGGCGGACGGGUGAGUAACGCUUGGGAAUCUGCCUAUUAGUGGGGGACAACCCGGGGAAACUCGGGCUAAUACCGCAUACGCUCUACGGAGGAAAGCCGGGGACCGCAAGGCCUGGCGCUAAUAGAUGAGCCCAAGUCGGAUUAGCUAGUUGGUAGGGUAAUGGCCUACCAAGGCGACGAUCCGUAACUGGUCUGAGAGGACGACCAGUCACACCGGAACUGAGACACGGUCCGGACUCCUACGGGAGGCAGCAGUGGGGAAUAUUGGACAAUGGGCGAAAGCCUGAUCCAGCGACGCCGCGUGGGUGAAGAAGGCCUGCGGGUUGUAAAGCCCUUUCAGUGGGGAAGAAAAGCCUCGACCUAACACGUCGGGGUCUCGACGUAACCCAUAGAAGAAGCACCGGCUAACUCUGUGCCAGCAGCCGCGGUAA